ACCUGGCUGGCUCAGUUGGUGGAAUGUGGGACUCUUGAUCUCGGGGUUGUGAGUUCGAGCCCCACGUUGGGUG
This 73-nucleotide transfer RNA is filed under the name Felis catus (domestic cat). It matches the Rfam family "tRNA". From Rfam's summary of the family: Transfer RNA (tRNA) molecules are approximately 80 nucleotides in length. Their secondary structure includes four short double-helical elements and three loops (D, anti-codon, and T loops). Further hydrogen bonds mediate the characteristic L-shaped molecular structure. tRNAs have two regions of fundamental functional importance: the anti-codon, which is responsible for specific mRNA codon recognition, and the 3' end, to which the tRNAs corresponding amino acid is attached (by aminoacyl-tRNA synthetases). tRNAs cope with the degeneracy of the genetic code in two manners: having more than one tRNA (with a specific anti-codon) for a particular amino acid; and 'wobble' base-pairing, i.e. permitting non-standard base-pairing at the 3rd anti-codon position. RNAcentral also lists the same sequence under 2 other names. The record is from Rfam by way of RNAcentral. Lineage: Eukaryota; Metazoa; Chordata; Mammalia; Carnivora; Felidae.